This 92-nucleotide non-coding RNA is filed under the name human gut metagenome. The record is from RNAcentral.
AACGGGGAGCUUGCAUGAGGGCAGGCUGAGAGGGAGCGGUUAGGCUUCGACCCAUGGAACCUGAAAUGGAUAAUGCCAGCGAAGGGAGAAUA